Molecule: ribosomal RNA, 165 nt
Filed under: uncultured bacterium
Lineage: Bacteria
Description: partial 16S rRNA
Rfam family: Bacterial small subunit ribosomal RNA
Source: RNAcentral
UAGGGAAUCUUCGGCAAUGGAGGAAAGUCUGACCGAGCAACGCCGCGUGAGUGAAGAAGGUUUUCGGAUCGUAAAACUCUGUUGGUAGAGAAGAACGUUGGUGAGAGUGGAAAGCUCAUCAAGUGACGGUAACUACCCAGAAAGGGACGGCUAACUACGUGCCCG